This 608-nucleotide ribosomal RNA is filed under the name Staphylococcus sp. AmSamHH9. Its description in RNAcentral is "bacterial SSU rRNA". It matches the Rfam family "Bacterial small subunit ribosomal RNA", at positions 79 to 674 of the family's 1533-position model. The record is from RNAcentral. Lineage: Bacteria; Bacillati; Bacillota; Bacilli; Caryophanales; Staphylococcaceae.
UGCUCCUUUGACGUUAGCGGCGGACGGGUGAGUAACACGUGGGUAACCUACCUAUAAGACUGGGAUAACUUCGGGAAACCGGAGCUAAUACCGGAUAACAUUUGGAACCGCAUGGUUCUAAAGUGAAAGAUGGUUUUGCUAUCACUUAUAGAUGGACCCGCGCCGUAUUAGCUAGUUGGUAAGGUAACGGCUUACCAAGGCGACGAUACGUAGCCGACCUGAGAGGGUGAUCGGCCACACUGGAACUGAGACACGGUCCAGACUCCUACGGGAGGCAGCAGUAGGGAAUCUUCCGCAAUGGGCGAAAGCCUGACGGAGCAACGCCGCGUGAGUGAUGAAGGGUUUCGGCUCGUAAAACUCUGUUAUUAGGGAAGAACAAACGUGUAAGUAACUGUGCACGUCUUGACGGUACCUAAUCAGAAAGCCACGGCUAACUACGUGCCAGCAGCCGCGGUAAUACGUAGGUGGCAAGCGUUAUCCGGAAUUAUUGGGCGUAAAGCGCGCGUAGGCGGUUUCUUAAGUCUGAUGUGAAAGCCCACGGCUCAACCGUGGAGGGUCAUUGGAAACUGGGAAACUUGAGUGCAGAAGAGGAAAGUGGAAUUCCAUGU